Molecule: ribosomal RNA, 429 nt
Filed under: Actinomycetes bacterium
Lineage: Bacteria; Bacillati; Actinomycetota; Actinomycetes
Description: Actinobacteria bacterium partial 16S ribosomal RNA
Rfam family: Bacterial small subunit ribosomal RNA
Source: RNAcentral
UAGGGAAUCUUCCGCAAUGGGCGAAAGCCUGACGGAGCAACGCCGCGUGAGUGAUGAAGGUCUUCGGAUCGUAAAACUCUGUUAUUAGGGAAGAACAAAUGUGUAAGUAACUAUGCACGUCUUGACGGUACCUAAUCAGAAAGCCACGGCUAACUACGUGCCAGCAGCCGCGGUAAUACGUAGGUGGCAAGCGUUAUCCGGAAUUAUUGGGCGUAAAGCGCGCGUAGGCGGUUUUUUAAGUCUGAUGUGAAAGCCCACGGCUCAACCGUGGAGGGUCAUUGGAAACUGGAAAACUUGAGUGCAGAAGAGGAAAGUGGAAUUCCAUGUGUAGCGGUGAAAUGCGCAGAGAUAUGGAGGAACACCAGUGGCGAAGGGGACUUUCUGGUCUGUAACUGACGCUGAUGUGCGAAAGCGUGGGGAUCAAACAGG